GGUCAUGGGUGUGUCGCCUGGGUCAUUCCGGGGCUGGGCGGUUUGACUGCAGUGAUUACAAAUAUCAACGGAAGCAUAAACAUUGGUUAUUCCUGUUCCCAGAGGAGAGUGAACAAAAAGAAGCUACCUUGUACUAUCAGAAGAACAUGGUCAUGUCCCUGCUGGCCUCUUUCUUGUACGCUGUACACCUGUGGGAGAACCUAGAAACCCUGGAUGGUUUGACUGCCUCAGUCACCAACUACUUCGUGUGUGUGUGUGUGUGUGUGUGUGUGUGUGUGUGUGUAGCUCUGUGUGUAUGAUCCUGGCAACACAUCAUGCAGGUGGAAGCCAUGCUGUUGCUCAAGACUAAGCAAGGAAUGGUUCCUACCUAUGUUCAGGCCCCUCUUUUUCCCGGAAACUCAUAGCAGCUGCUGCCUGAGAUGAUUUUGAAGUAGACCAAUUCAGUACAAAGGCAUAUGAAAAACCAGAUUUGCAAGUUUUAAAGGAGGUGAAAAAUGAAUCAUCAGA
Molecule: long non-coding RNA, 507 nt
Organism: Fukomys damarensis (Damara mole-rat)
Lineage: Eukaryota; Metazoa; Chordata; Mammalia; Rodentia; Bathyergidae
Exons: 3
Source: RefSeq, a predicted model, not a curated record